RNAcentral lists this long non-coding RNA (214 nucleotides) under Prunus persica (peach). RNAcentral's name for it is "long non-coding RNA (PPER_LNC002924)". Lineage: Eukaryota; Viridiplantae; Streptophyta; Magnoliopsida; Rosales; Rosaceae. The record is from RNAcentral.
UACCAUAUCAUAGAAGUACAUUGAUAAUACCAUGUCAUAGAAGUACAUUGUUAAUACCAUAUCAUAGAAAUACAUUGUUAAUACCAUUUCAUACAAAAAACUCAAAAAACCCAAAAAAAAGCCCAGUAAGACAUCCGGUAUCCUUUGCAGAAACCACCUCCAAUUGUUCACAGUUUCACCAUAAACAAUCGCAAAGGGAAAACGAAAUACCUCU